This 1217-nucleotide long non-coding RNA is filed under the name Oryctolagus cuniculus (rabbit). Its description in RNAcentral is "lncRNA (ENSOCUG00000037624.1)". The record is from RNAcentral. Lineage: Eukaryota; Metazoa; Chordata; Mammalia; Lagomorpha; Leporidae.
GGGAGGGAGGCAGAUGUGAGCUCAUGGGGGAGAAAUCCUUGGACGCCCCCCAUCUUCUUACUGUAGGUGUCUGGGAAUCUGGGGUCCUCCUCCCCAAAGGCAGGGGCUUUGGGGCCUCAGUUUCCCCAUCUGUGAAGUGGGGCCAGCUGCUCGCUGCCCGUCCCGUCCCGCUGCCUGCUGCGGAAGUGUGGGUUCAGUCUCUCGGCAAACAGUAACUGAGUGGUGAGCAGGCAUGGGCCGCGCACGUGCACCCCACAGCAGCCUCCCAGGACGGGUUUCCUCCCUGCUCACGGAGAAACCACAGCUCAGGGAGGCAUAGUGUCUUUCCCAACCUCACACAGCUCGUGAACGGCAGAGGCAGUGUCAGUGAAACAGGGUUUAUUUGGUGCCAAGUCUAUGCUUUGAAUGCCCUCACUUUGGCCCAGUGACAGCCGUCAAUCACGCUGUGAUUGCUGGGGAGCGGCUCAGAGCAAGUGUCGGGGCAGGGAGUGGCCCCACGUCGUGGUCUCCGUGGGGUCUCUCACGGUUCGGCACACCUGCCCCAGCAGUGCAGGUGCAGAGGAGGGAGGGGCACGCGCUCCACAGCCUUUCCCUGAGAUGAUGGGGACUGCUUUCCGGGAGUCGCUUGGGGCUCCAUUGGCCUCCAGACUCCCCCAGGGAGGCCCGGGCUCGCGGAGGGGGCAGUGCACAAGCCCCACCCCCCAGCCUCUGCACACACAAAGCUCUGGAGCUCCCUCUGGAAUCCGGCUGGGACUCAACAUCCCUGCUGCCCCACGCUUUUUGCAAAAAUGUUCUCUCGUGUCCUGAGCAGCAGCCAGGCCCACAGGGGGAGGCUGAGAUAAGGAGGUCCCGUCCUUGAGCGACCGCACCUCCUCCCCUCUGCCGAGGGGGCGGCCAGGAGCAGGGGGCUCUGCUGCAGUGCCUUUGUGCAGCAGCCGCGGCGCUGACGGAGGAGCUGGCUGGCUGCCUUCGCUCGAGGCUUCCCCGAGUGGCCGCCUGGGUACCCAGGGAUGUAUCGGCCCAUCGAGGCACUGCUGAGCGGAUCUGCUGCCCCCUCGUCCUCUCCCUGGCCCCGCUGACAUAGGGAUGGUGUAAAUUCAGCCAAACGGCUGCUCUGGCCUUCUGCCCUGCAGUGUCCAGGGCCUGAGCCAGGGAGCCCGGCUGUGGCCAUCACGAGACGAGCGCUGUCCUGGGGCUCUCGCCUCUCCUGGCCACAU